Molecule: long non-coding RNA, 1096 nt
Organism: Diceros bicornis minor
Lineage: Eukaryota; Metazoa; Chordata; Mammalia; Perissodactyla; Rhinocerotidae
Exons: 6
Source: RefSeq, a predicted model, not a curated record
AGGCGAGCUGCUGAGGACCGGGCUGUGUCGCCGGCAUGUCCUCUUCCGUGAAGGCCCUGGGUCGGCUGCUGCUCCCCUGCGGCCAUACAGAGGAGGCUGCCCAUCCUGGCUUGACUGCCGGACCUCUCUGUGCAGGGUCUGAAGAUGGUUGGGCUCAAGAUCAUUUCCCAGGCGCUGGCCUAUGCUGAGGUGGCCUGACUUCCACCCCAGUACGACCUCCACUCUGCCUUCAUGGGGUGAUUCACGUAGUUCUUCCUAGACAUCUCCCGGGAUGUGACUCUGGGCCCCACGGCGAUCAUGUCUCUCCUGGUCUCCUACACCUUCCAUGUGCCUGCCUCUGCUGUGCUGCUGGCCUUCCUGUGGAGCUGCAUCCAGUUAGCCAUGGGGUUCCUGCACUUGGGCCAUGGCUUCCAGUGUCCUCUGGGACCAGGCAGAGCUGGGAUCAACUCGGUGUUCCCUCUUGGCCAGCCAGGAUUCCUGUGGACUUCAUCUCCUGUCCGGUCAUUAAAAGUUUCACCUCUCCUGCCACCGUCACCGUGGGCUUCAGGCAGCUCAAGCAAUCAACACAAUGAAGGUCAGACUGCAUGUUCUGUGAUGUCAAGGCUUAUGAAACACCCACAGGGAUGCAAAGCUGGACCAGGCCCCCACUUUGGGCAUUAUCUUACUUGUGAGAGGUUGGCCAAUUCAGAGAAAACCAGAGGCUCCAAACUUCACUGCUGGACACUGUCUAGUCAUCUUCAUAGUCAACUGUGUUGGAAGAUCUUGACUGUCUUCUUGACCAGCAAAAAGCUGGCUAUUCACUGAAUAAUUAAUAAAAACUAUCACUAUAUUUUCACCAGUACAAUUCUGUGAGAGUGAAUGGGUUGGGUGAAAAAUAUAUAAUUGGUGCUUUUCUAAAUGGAGUAUUUUAAAUAAUCCCUAAAUUGUAGGAUUAAAUGUGUGUUCUGGCUCAUAAAUUGACCCUCACCAUACACAUUACUUUGAUCUGUUCAUGAAAACUAGCAAUAAAAAGGGAAGUGACCAGCUUCCAAAUACAUGGAACAAGUGAAAAUUUUAGAACAAAAAGGAGAGAGCUGCCGUGUUUAAAAUAAGUAGA